RNAcentral lists this ribosomal RNA (484 nucleotides) under uncultured bacterium. Its description in RNAcentral is "partial 16S ribosomal RNA". It matches the Rfam family "Bacterial small subunit ribosomal RNA", at positions 31 to 507 of the family's 1533-position model. The record is from RNAcentral.
AGGGAAAGCUGGAGGCAUGCUUUACACAUGCAAGUCGAACGGCAGCGCGGGCUUCGGCCUGGCGGCGAGUGGCGAACGGGUGAGUAAUACAUCGGAACGUGCCCAGUAGUGGGGGAUAGCUCGGCGAAAGCCGGAUUAAUACCGCAUACGACCUGAGGGUGAAAGCGGGGGAUCUUCGGACCUCGCGCUAUUGGAGCGGCCGAUGGCAGAUUAGCUAGUUGGUGGGGUAAAGGCCUACCAAGGCGACGAUCUGUAGCUGGUCUGAGAGGACGACCAGCCACACUGGGACUGAGACACGGCCCAGACUCCUACGGGAGGCAGCAGUGGGGAAUUUUGGACAAUGGGCGAAAGCCUGAUCCAGCAAUGCCGCGUGUGUGAUGAAGGCCUUCGGGUUGUAAAGCACUUUUGGCGGGAACGAAAAGGACUGUGCCAAUACCACGGUUCGAUGACGGUACCCGCAGAAUAAGCACCGGCUAACUACGUG